UCCAGAUCCAGAGGCCGACAAGACAUACCAGAGUGACGGGGAGGCACGUGUGGAUGUGUUGGAUGCCAUCGUGCCCCACAUUACGCUCCGGCCUUUGAGGAUGCCUGCAGACCAAACCAUCUUCUUGUCUUCCAGAAGUUGGAAAAGUUCUGCUCUGCUCUGGUGGAGGUUAGGCUGACAGAGGACAAUGUCCACAUCAAAGGGUCUGGACCACACAGUGUACGACAGCUACGAACACUUUACUUCUGUUGUGGACAAGGUGGAGCGUUGAGCUGUAGACACCCUGUAUAUAUCUGUAAUUAUGGGACAGUUGCAUUGUAAGUAACUUAACUGUAGUGAUGUGGUGUUAUCAGCAAUUUAUUCAAUCAGGUGAUAAGAUAAUUUAUCUGUAAAGAAUUGCAUCUCAUUGUAGUGUGGUUUUGUGUACAUUGUAAAUAGUUUCGAUCUUCAUGUACAUAUUGUAGUCUUCUUUUUCAUGACUGCACUGUUUUUUCUGAUUGUUCUCCAUUUCAUGCACUGUAUUCAAUAAAGUGUUAA
This is a long non-coding RNA of Anarrhichthys ocellatus (wolf-eel), 537 nucleotides long. RefSeq lists it as uncharacterized. The record is from RefSeq and is a predicted model, not a curated record. NCBI's taxonomy places the organism in Eukaryota, Metazoa, Chordata, Actinopteri, Perciformes, Anarhichadidae. The transcript has 2 exons.